RNAcentral lists this ribosomal RNA (253 nucleotides) under uncultured bacterium. RNAcentral's name for it is "partial 16S ribosomal RNA". It matches the Rfam family "Bacterial small subunit ribosomal RNA", at positions 524 to 776 of the family's 1533-position model. The record is from RNAcentral.
GACGAAGGGGGCUAGCGUUGGUCGGAAUUACUGGGCGUAAAGCGAGUGUAGGUGGUUGUCCAAGUUGGAUGUGAAAGCCUUGAGCUCAACUCAAGAAAUGCAUUCAGGACUGGGCGGCUAGAGGACCGGAGAGGAUAGUGGAAUUCCCAGUGUAGUGGUGAAAUACGUAGAGAUUGGGAAGAACACCAGUGGCGAAGGCGGCUAUCUGGACGGUUUCUGACGCUGAGGCACGCAGGCCAGGGGAGCAAACGGG